RNAcentral lists this ribosomal RNA (660 nucleotides) under uncultured fungus. RNAcentral describes it as "eukaryotic LSU rRNA". The stretch from base 254 to 407 matches the Rfam family "5.8S ribosomal RNA". Lineage: Eukaryota; Fungi. The record is from RNAcentral.
AAGUCGUAACAAGGUUUCCGUAGGUGAACCUGCGGAAGGAUCAUUAAUGAAUUAAAGUCGGUCUUCUGUGCUGGUGGUGACACAUGUGCACGUUGAUCGCAAAUCCACACACCUGUGCACCUUUGACUUUAGGAUCCGCUUGUUGGCUUGUCUGACUUGCAGCUGAUGUUGGUUUUGUGCUCAUCUGGAUCUUAGAGUAAUUUUACACACUCUGAAUGUAAUGGAAUGUUCCUGUGCAUAAUGCGCAAAAUACAACUUUCAACAACGGAUCUCUUGGCUCUCGCAUCGAUGAAGAACGCAGCGAAAUGUGAUAAGUAAUGUGAAUUGCAGAAUUCAGUGAAUCAUCGAAUCUUUGAACGCACCUUGCACCCUUUGGUAUUCCAAAGGGUACACCCGUUUGAGUGUCAUUGUAAUCUCACUACGAUCGACUCUUGUCUUUCCGUAUGUGGACUUGGAUGUUGUCGUGGAUUCAACGACUCGUCUGAAAUGCCUGAGUGUACCCCGCUUUGCGGCGUAUUCGGUGUGAUACAUCUUCACCGGAGUUGAUCCUUUUUGGGUCGCGUCUGUAUGAGUGUGGCUCUAUGCUUCCAACCGUCUUUUUAUGAGACAAAUCUCUGACAAUUUGACCUCAAAUCGGGUGGGACUACCCGCUGAACUUAA